ACGCUCGACACCUACGGGAGCAGCAGUCGGGAAUAUUGCGCAAUGGAGGAAACUCUGACGCAGUGACGCCGCGUAUAGGAAGAAGGUUUUCGGAUUGUAAACUAUUGUCGUUAGGGAAGAAAAAGGACAGUACCUAAGGAGGAAGCUCCGGCUAACUACGUGCCAACAGCCGCGGUAAUCUGAGCGGGCUGGCAAGGC
RNAcentral lists this ribosomal RNA (198 nucleotides) under uncultured bacterium. RNAcentral's name for it is "partial 16S ribosomal RNA". It matches the Rfam family "Bacterial small subunit ribosomal RNA", at positions 328 to 539 of the family's 1533-position model. The record is from RNAcentral.